Molecule: long non-coding RNA, 459 nt
Organism: Heterocephalus glaber (naked mole-rat)
Lineage: Eukaryota; Metazoa; Chordata; Mammalia; Rodentia; Bathyergidae
Source: Ensembl
ACCUUAAACUCCACAACCCUGCUGCCUGCCUCAGACCUGAUGACCCCACUACAUGAAUGCCAAGAGACCCUCCAGGACAUAACCUCGACCAGACCUGAUUUGCAGGAUGUGGCCCUAAAAGACCCUGAGGAGACAUUCUUCACAGAUGGAAGCAGUUUCAUCGAGCAAGGAGUCAGGAGCUGCAGAAUCGAGUUCGGGAGGCCAGGCCAGCCCCUCAACCUGAGGUUAUUCAUCAUAAAUUUCAGCCUAGAGAUCUGGUACUGGUAAAGAGACAUUCAUCUAAGGCUCUGGCGCCAUUAAAGCGGCUCCUGAAGACACACCAGAGGACAAAUAAAAGAUCAUCAGUCAACCAGGUGACAAAAAAACAAAGAAGAAAAAGCAGCAAAUAAACGUAUGAAAAAAUGUUCAACAUCACUGGUCAUUCAAGAGAUGCAAAUGAAAACCACACUGAGAUUCCAC